Sphaeramia orbicularis (orbiculate cardinalfish) is the source of this 81-nucleotide long non-coding RNA. RefSeq lists it as uncharacterized. NCBI's taxonomy places the organism in Eukaryota, Metazoa, Chordata, Actinopteri, Kurtiformes, Apogonidae. The transcript is spliced from 3 exons. The record is from RefSeq and is a predicted model, not a curated record.
AAAAGAAAAAUAGAUAAAGCCUCUUAAAUAUGCCAAAUGUUGUAAUAAUGUGGGCCACCACUGUUCUUUUAAAUAUAAAGA